RNAcentral lists this long non-coding RNA (3519 nucleotides) under Homo sapiens (human). RNAcentral's name for it is "non-protein coding lnc-ARL5B-4:1". The record is from RNAcentral. Lineage: Eukaryota; Metazoa; Chordata; Mammalia; Primates; Hominidae.
UGUAUUUUUUAUAGAGAUGGGGUUUUGCCAUGUUGCCCAAGCUGGUCGAGAACUCCUGAGCUCAAGUGAUUCAUCCACCUCGGCCUCCCAAAGUGCUGGGAUUACAGGCAUGAGCCACCAUGCCUGGCCUAGAUUAGCCAAGAAUAUGCUUGUUCUCAUUGCCAAGGCCUGGAGAUAGGCCUGCGGCCUGAAAGGACCUCGACAGACAGCCUCGCGGUGACCCUUUGAUGCUCUCUGGAUAUACCAGGAAAACUGCACGAUGUGAGGCACACAGUGAGAAAGCCAAUCUGUGUAUUUAUUUAUUUAUUUUGAGGUGGAGUUUUGCUCUUGUUGCCCAAGCUGGAGUGCAGUGGCGUGAUCUCAGGUCACUGCAACUCUGCCUCCCAGGUUCAAGUGAUUCUCCUGCUUCAGCCUCCUGAGUAGCUAGGAUUACAGGUGCACCACCACACCUGGCUAAUUUUUGUAUUUUUAGUAGAGAUGAGGUUUCUCCAUGUUGUCCAGGCUGGUCUCGAACUCCUGAGCUCAGGUGAUCCACCUGCCUUGACCUCCCAAAGUGCUGGGAUUAUAGGUGUGAGCCACUGUGCCUGGCCCAUUCUGUGUAUGUAACUAGUGGUAGAUACUCAGUAAGGGCAAGUUUUCCACGAAAGAAAAAGUGGAGGAUGCAGCAGUUGAUAGCAUGUUAGAGAAUGAGUCUCCCUGUGUGUGUGGCCUUCCUGGUAAGGGGAAAUUAGGUUCUGAGAAGGAAGUUAAGAUUGUGUGUGAAAGGAGGAAGGUGCUAUCUCAAGCUUUGUCCUUAAUGAUCAUUAAGGAGGAGAAAUGGAGUGUAGUGUAAGGAGACUGAUAGCAGGGAAAUGAAACUCCAGCCAUUUGAAACCAGUCAAUAGAGUCAAAUGUUUUCUGUCUGCUGUUCACCUUCUUGAGCCACUGUGCAGAUGCAGGCAGCAAAGAAAUGACAAACAAUUACCUCCCUGGGCAGGUGAACCUAUUUCAAAACCCAUGGGCAGGAGUUUUAACCUGGAUUCCAUGAGUAAACUCCAGGAAUUUGUGAAAUCCUGAAACCCACAUAUCAUACAUGUUUACGAUGAUCCCUUAGGUGUAUUUAUUUCUGAGAAAAUUAGUCAUAACUUUUUAUUGGAUUUUCAAAGGGGUCUGUGAGUUUUAAAAGGGAAGAUACUAUCACACAUGUUUAUGGUGAUCCCUUAUAUGUAUUUAUUUCUGGGAAAAUUAGUCAUAACUUUUUCUUGGAUUUUCAAAGGGGUCUGUGAGUUUUAAAAGGGAAGAUACUCUGUUGGAUAGCUUUGUCCAGUGCUAUACUUUUUUUUUUUUUUGGAGAUAGGGUCUUGCUCUGUUGCCCAGGCUGGAGUACAGUGGUGUGAUCAUGGCUUACUGCAGCCUUGACCUCCUGGCCUCAAGUGAUCCUCCCACUGUGGCCUCCUGAGUAGCUGCAACUACAGACAUGUGUCACUAUACCUGGGUAUUUAUUACUAUUAUUAUUUUUGUAGGGAUGGGAUCUCACUAUGUUGUCCAGCCUGGUCUUGAACUCUUGGGCUCAAGUGAUCAUCCUGCCUUGGCCUCCUGAAGCGCUGGGAUUGCAGGCAUGAUCCACCAUGCCCUGCCCAACGGUACACUUUUCAGGAGAAAACUCUUCCACUUCUGUCUUAGGUAGCAGCAAUCAAGAUGAAUCCUAGAUCCACCAAGGGGACAAAAUUGUUACUAAAAAAACUUUCUAUAGCGUAGUAAAUUUGUAGCCUAGGGAAGGCUUCAACCUGUUAGGCUGAAAGCAGCUAUGACUUUCAGUAAAUCUGAAAAGAGCAUUCCUGUUGCAGAAUCAAUGAGACUCUGUAGGCUUUGGCUGAUAGACAAAUGACUCACUGUCUUCAAAACUACUAUGGAAAAGGCUAUGCUUUGCAUCUGUCUAGGGUGUAAAUUUGCUUUUGAUUGACAAUGUGAUAGCAAACAAUUUAAAGGGAAGAAACAGAGAGAAAAUGUCAUCUUUGUGGGCAGAUGCUUUUAUUAGGAGCUGAAAGUGUGAUGGAAGUACUUUUGAAAAUGUGUUAUUUCUCCCUGUUCUUUUUUGCCACUGUAAGCAGAGAAAAAAAGUUUUUAUUCUUACCCUUGUCUAAGAAAAGUCAGCAGAUUCAAAAUUCACUGUAAGCACAAAAGGUUUGUGAAUCUGCAUUUUAUGGUGGGUACAUACUGGCUUGGUAAUAAAUGGUUUCAGGGCGCUUGUAACUUCAAUUAUUGUUGCAAUUUAGAAUGAUUGAGCAACUAUUUUUGUGAAAUACUGUUUGGUGAAAACUCAAGUGUUUACUGGGAAUUCUUUAUAAAACAUGGGGUGCUUAUGAUCUUAGGGCUUUGGGCUAAAAAAUGUUGAUUUAUUGGGUAGAAUGAAUUGUUCUAGCCUGACAUCAGAAGUACCAAGUUGCCUUGUGGCUCCUUAAAUUCAGUUUGUGUGUUUGGUAUUUGCAGAUGAUACGUUAAUUUUAAAAAUCUUUAGGGAGUCUUUAAAUAAAUACUGCCAUGUAAGCCUGAAAAAAGUCCAUGCCUCUUCUUCCAGGGAGCUGCCCAGACACUGGGCAAAUCAGAUUUCAUAAAUAUAGCUUGUUGUUAUCCUUUACCUAUCGUGGAAAGAUAAGACAGGAAGUCAGCACACCUAAUUCAAUAACAGAUAAGAAAAGCACACUUUUUCUUUUCUGAGAGCUGUGUAACCUGAGGGUCAAUUUGAAUGUUUAGAGAAUUUUUCUUUUUGAAUUUUGUGGGCAUUUUAAAUAUAUAUAUUUAUAUAUAUUAAUAUAUGUAUUUAAAUAUAUAUAUUAAUAUAUAUUUAAAUAUAUGUUUUAUAUAUAUAAAACAAUGAGUUUAUAUUAAAUGUGACCUGCUUAAAAUAGAAAAAAGAGAGCCAGUUCCAUUAAUCUGAGUCAGUAGAAGUUGAAAAUCCUUUAUACCACUCUUUUCUUUUUUAAUUUCCUCAGCUCACGUUCUCAGAUGGCCCUUCUCACUGCAGAGGGGCUCUGAUGUACCAAUGCGAACGUUUCAAAUGUACACUGCAGGUUCUGUCUGCGGAGACCUUUUGGGCUGUUCAUCCGUCGUAUUAUCUGAUAAGAAAGAACUUACAUUGAGAAGCCAACUGUCACUCAAACUCCCUCCAUUCCAGUGAGCCUUGAGGGUGCCCUAUCAGCACAGAUCUGCCAGGCUGCCCUCAUGGCGCUGUCUAAAAUAGCACUGCCUGCCUUGGCUCCCUGGAUCAAUGAAUCCGCAGUGAGGCUUUACUGUGCUUUGCUACUCCAUCGCCACUUGUCUUUUGCUGAUCUUCAGGCAUCAAGAUUUUGUCACCUUCUUAUUCUCAAGCGCCUGCAUCAUCUUGUCAUUCUUCGCUUCACUUUAGCUACUUAUUCCUUGCAGAACCCAGAGAGCGUUCCAGAAAGUCGAAAGUUUAGAAAUGUCUUCACAAAGCUGAACACUCUGACUUCCAAGGACAUAACCUUCCUACUUUUCUGUAUUCAUUUCUCUGAGAACUUU